UUUGAGAGGGAUGAAUCCACACCUGCAACAAAAACAAAAAAAAAGGGACUUACUAAAAUACCAAAAUAAGAACUAAAUUAACCAAGAUGCUAGAUCUUAGCAAGACUAUCUAUAUUUUUUAUCAUAACUUUCUACCUUGUGCUCCAAAAUGUGGAAACAUAUUUAUGUCAACAUGAUAGAAGAAACAAAUACCCAAGUCCUUGACAUAUGAGAUGUAAUGAAUACAUACCAAAGAGAUGGUUCUCCCGGAGAGUGUCCAUGUCCAUGGUGUC
RNAcentral lists this unclassified non-coding RNA (272 nucleotides) under Hevea brasiliensis (rubber tree). The record is from RNAcentral. Lineage: Eukaryota; Viridiplantae; Streptophyta; Magnoliopsida; Malpighiales; Euphorbiaceae.